This is a long non-coding RNA of Psammomys obesus (fat sand rat), 602 nucleotides long. RefSeq lists it as uncharacterized. NCBI's taxonomy places the organism in Eukaryota, Metazoa, Chordata, Mammalia, Rodentia, Muridae. The transcript is spliced from 3 exons. The record is from RefSeq and is a predicted model, not a curated record.
AAAAGCCACUGCCUUGCCCCAGUUGGGUAGACGGCUGUGGUGCAGAACCACACUUGAGUUGCAUUAACGUGGCUGUACGAGGCGCCAACUGAGAGUGUGUCCUCUUCCUGAUAUGCACGCAGCUGUCAGCAACACAACUGGCCUAUUGCAAGGCUGCGAAACCACAGCAUGAAAGCAACGAGGAGCGUGGGUUUGGAAGAGGCAGACCCGUUGAGGCCAUCUUCCUGAGGUCUGGAAGCAAGGAAGGAGUUGGCAGCGGAAUUUGAAAGCUCAAGAGAGCUUCGGAACAGCAGCUCCACAGCCCCAUUUCCAGAUUUGACUUAUGUUAUGUUCGAAUGAAACGUCUUGCUUCCUGAGUGCUGCUUUGCCCUCCCUUCACCACAGUAGCCACUCUUCUUCCAAAGCCAUCAGGGAGAAUUUGCUUGGUGGUCAAAAAGGCAUGAAGGUCUGGCGUUGCGCAACAUUCUUCAGCAAGACGGUUGUGUGCAGAAAGCCCUCCGACAACUACCGGAAGGAAGAAACUGAAAAUAAACACCAUCCAUUGGAAGCUUUGAAUUAUUUGCUUCUGUCUGUUGGGAAUCGCAUAUAAAACGAAUUGGGAU